Molecule: transfer RNA, 73 nt
Filed under: Candidatus Uhrbacteria bacterium
Lineage: Bacteria; Candidatus Uhriibacteriota
Description: tRNA-Pro
Rfam family: tRNA
About the family: Transfer RNA (tRNA) molecules are approximately 80 nucleotides in length. Their secondary structure includes four short double-helical elements and three loops (D, anti-codon, and T loops). Further hydrogen bonds mediate the characteristic L-shaped molecular structure. tRNAs have two regions of fundamental functional importance: the anti-codon, which is responsible for specific mRNA codon recognition, and the 3' end, to which the tRNAs corresponding amino acid is attached (by aminoacyl-tRNA synthetases). tRNAs cope with the degeneracy of the genetic code in two manners: having more than one tRNA (with a specific anti-codon) for a particular amino acid; and 'wobble' base-pairing, i.e. permitting non-standard base-pairing at the 3rd anti-codon position.
Source: RNAcentral
CGGGCUAUAGCUCAGUAGGUAGAGCGCCUGGUUUGGGACCAGGAGGUCGCGAGUUCGAGCCCCGCUGGCCCGA